RNAcentral lists this ribosomal RNA (253 nucleotides) under uncultured bacterium. Its description in RNAcentral is "partial 16S ribosomal RNA". It matches the Rfam family "Bacterial small subunit ribosomal RNA", at positions 524 to 776 of the family's 1533-position model. The record is from RNAcentral.
UACGGAGGGAGCUAGCGUUGUUCGGAAUUACUGGGCGUAAAGCGCACGUAGGCGGCUUUGUAAGUUAGAGGUGAAAGCCUGGGGCUCAACUCCAGAAUUGCCUUUAAGACUACAUCGCUUGAAUCAUGGAGAGGCGGGUGGAAUUCCGAGUGUAGAGGUGAAAUUCGUAGAUAUUCGGAAGAACACCAGUGGCGAAGGCGGCCCGCUGGACAUGUAUUGACGCUGAGGUGCGAAAGCGUGGGGAGCAAACAGG